This 463-nucleotide ribosomal RNA is filed under the name uncultured bacterium. RNAcentral describes it as "bacterial SSU rRNA". It matches the Rfam family "Bacterial small subunit ribosomal RNA", at positions 338 to 795 of the family's 1533-position model. The record is from RNAcentral.
CCUACGGGGGGCUGCAGUCUAGAGGCUUCGGCAAUGGGGGCAACCCUGACCGAGCGACGCCGCGUGUGGGAUUGAAGGCCUUCGGGUCGUAAACCACUGUCAUUGGGAAAGAAUGCCCGGAUGGCGAAUCCGGGAGGGACGGUACCCAAGAAGGAAGCCCCGGCUAACUCCGUGCCAGCAGCCGCGGUAAUACGGAGGGGGCAAGCGUUGUUCGGAUUUACUGGGCGUAAAGGGUGUGUAGGCGGCUGCGAAAGUCUGGUGUGAAAUCUUCACCGCUUAACGGGAAGAGGUCACUGGAAACUGCGUAGCUCGAGUAUGGUAGAGGCAAGCGGAAUUCCUGGUGUAGCGGUGGAAUGUGUAGAUAUCAGGAAGAACACCGGUGGCGAAGGCGGCUUGCUGGGCCAUCACUGACGCUGAGACACGAAAGCGUGGGGAGCAAACGGGAUUAGAUACCCCGGUAGUC